UCCCUGAUGGCUCAGUGGUAAAGAAUCUGCCUGCAAUGCAGGAGACCCGGGUUCAGUCCCUGGGUUGGGAA
Molecule: transfer RNA, 71 nt
Filed under: Bos taurus (domestic cattle)
Lineage: Eukaryota; Metazoa; Chordata; Mammalia; Artiodactyla; Bovidae
Also listed under: 5 other names
Rfam family: tRNA
About the family: Transfer RNA (tRNA) molecules are approximately 80 nucleotides in length. Their secondary structure includes four short double-helical elements and three loops (D, anti-codon, and T loops).
Source: Rfam by way of RNAcentral